GCUGGGGGUGGUGGUGCACACCUGUAAUCCCAGUGGCUUAGGAGGCUGAGGCAGGAGGAUCUUGAGUUCAAAGCCAGCCUCAGCAAUGGUGAGGUGCUAAGCAACUCAGUGAGACCCUGUCUCUA
This 125-nucleotide small RNA is filed under the name Marmota monax (woodchuck). Lineage: Eukaryota; Metazoa; Chordata; Mammalia; Rodentia; Sciuridae. The record is from RNAcentral.